This 837-nucleotide ribosomal RNA is filed under the name uncultured euryarchaeote. RNAcentral describes it as "bacterial SSU rRNA". It matches the Rfam family "Archaeal small subunit ribosomal RNA", at positions 18 to 859 of the family's 1478-position model. Lineage: Archaea; Methanobacteriati; Methanobacteriota. The record is from RNAcentral.
CAGAGGUUACUGCUAUCGGAGUUCGANUAAGCCAUGCGAGUUGAGAGGGUUCGGCCCUCGGCGAACUGCUCAGUAACACGUGGAUAACCUGCCCUUGGGAUGGGAAUAACCCCGGGAAACUGGGGAUAAUGCCCGAUAUGUUACCUGUGCUGGAAUGCUUGGUAGCUUAAAGCUCCGGCGCCCAAGGAUGGGUCUGCGGCGGAUUAGGUUGUCGCCGGUGUAACGUACCGACGAGCCGAUAAUCCGUACGGGUUGUGAGAGCAAGAGCCCGGAGAUGGAUUCUGAGACACGAAUCCAGGCCCUACGGGGCGCAGCAGGCGCGUAAACUUUACAAUGCAGGAAACUGCGAUAAGGGAACUCCGAGUGUCUGGGACAUUCUCAGACUGUUCGGAUACCUAAAUAGUAUCUGAUAGUAAGGGCCGGGCAAGACCGGUGCCAGCCGCCGCGGUAACACCGGCGGCCCGAGUGGUAACCAAUAUUAUUGAGCUUAAAGCGUUCGUAGCCGGCUCGGCAAGUCCCUUGGGAAAUCUGACGGCUUAACCGUCAGGCGUUCAGGGGAUACUGCCGGACUUGGGACUGGGAGAGGUAGGAGGUACUUCAGGGGUAGGGGUGAAAUCCUGUAAUCCUUGGGGGACCACCGGUGGCGAAGGCGUCCUACCAGAACGGCUCCGACGGUGAGGAACGAAAGCUAGGGGCACGAACCGGAUUAGAUACCCGGGUAGUCCUAGCCGUAAACGAUGCGGGCUAGGUGUCACAGUAGCCAUGUGCUGUUGUGGUGCCGCAGGGAAACCGUGAAGCCUGCCGCUUGGGAAGUACGUCCGCAAGGAUGAAACUUAA